GCCCCUGUGGUGGAAUUGGUAUACACAGCAGGUUGAGGGCCUGUGCUUCUUGAAGCAUGCUGGUUCGAGUCCAGUCGGGGGCA
RNAcentral lists this transfer RNA (83 nucleotides) under Candidatus Poribacteria bacterium. RNAcentral describes it as "tRNA-Leu". It matches the Rfam family "tRNA". From Rfam's summary of the family: Transfer RNA (tRNA) molecules are approximately 80 nucleotides in length. Their secondary structure includes four short double-helical elements and three loops (D, anti-codon, and T loops). Lineage: Bacteria; Candidatus Poribacteria. The record is from RNAcentral.